AUUGGUAUGGUAUGCCAUUAAAAUUUUUGGUUGAUUUUUUCUGUUGGCACUUCGUGAUCCGGAAAAAUGAGCAGCUUUCCAAGUAUGGAGACACAAAAUCGGUUUGUAAUAUUAUGCUUGUAGAACUUAAUAAGCUAAUUGAAGCAAACCCCCUGUUUCGUGACAAGCUUACAUUCCUAGCCUUCAACAGUUCACAACUGAGGACAUUAAUAAACCCGAGUUUAAAUUGGCAGCAUCAACAUUGCAAGAAUCCUUGUCCAAACCCUGAUAUUAAAACACUCUUCACUGAUCAUUCUUGCAACCCUACGGCAAAAGGAGCUAGUCCUUCUCCUACAAACAGCCCAGCUUGUGGGACCAAUUCCUAAGGCUGGUGCAUUUCGCCUAUUGGUGCUCAUGGUCCAUAUCAGAGUGUUGUUUCCCCAUCUCCAGGUGCUAUUGCUGCAUUCUUGAAACAUCCAAGGACGCCGACAGGUAUGAAUGGGAUGGAUUGUCAAUCAGAGUAUUCAAAGCAUUUGAUGAAGCGUAUCUGCACUGGCCAAUCUGAUGAUGUCUGGAUGAGUGACAUAAUCUAUUGUUUUUUCAAGCUUGAUAGCUGCUAUAAAUUUCUAAAUGGCCUUUACAUCAGCUGGUUGUAACAAUUCUUUUGUUCCUUUCUCACCUCUUAUUAUCUUUUGGUUUUCUAGGUGUCUUUUGCUGGUGUGGCACAUACUCCCAAUGUAUAUUCUCAAGCUAGCCUUACCAAAGCCGUUGUGUGAACCCUUAAUCAAGGAUCUAAUGUCAUGAGCAUGGACUUCCAUCCAUAGUAUUCUUCUUGUGGGGGCAAAUGUUGGUGACACAAAUGAAAGCUCUCUGCGUACCUGAUUAUAUAGCACCAAGCACGGUAGGUGGUAAAGAAUUCAAGUAUUUGCAUUUUAUUUCAGUUAGGAAGAAACCCCUCUGCUUCUGUGGUGUUGGAUAUUUUCUUUGUGGUUAUUUACUGCCCUUUGUGUGCCUGUGCUCAUAUAUGAGAUAUUUUACUAUUAUAAAGCUAUGCAAAUCAUAUGAACUAUAUCUUUCGUUAAUAUACCAACCGUAUAUUCUAAAGAAUUAGAUGCACAAUGCCAGGAACUCUAGAAUGUUAAGUCAAAUGCUGGAAUGCUAGUUUAAACCUGCUCAUCUGAUGUGCUAACCUUUCUUUUGAAUUUUUCCUUUCUUUUUUUGAAUAU
Molecule: long non-coding RNA, 1205 nt
Organism: Pistacia vera
Lineage: Eukaryota; Viridiplantae; Streptophyta; Magnoliopsida; Sapindales; Anacardiaceae
Exons: 4
Source: RefSeq, a predicted model, not a curated record